This 312-nucleotide ribosomal RNA is filed under the name Triticum aestivum (bread wheat). Its description in RNAcentral is "partial small subunit ribosomal RNA". Lineage: Eukaryota; Viridiplantae; Streptophyta; Magnoliopsida; Poales; Poaceae. The record is from RNAcentral.
AUGGAUGAAGAGGAGAAGGAGGAGGAAGGGAGCGUCAAGCUCAUCAUUGCCGGUCUCGUGCUUGGCGCUCGCUUCGGCAACUGGCUAACUGGUGAAGUGGUCAUGGAGGUAGCAGCAGAGCAGGUGAGGACUGCAGUCUACGCAGCUCUCCUUCCACGCCAUCUUCUCCUACUUCGUCAACAAGCAGAAGUUCACCGCGCUCAUCCUCAACUCCGUCGUGCUGCGCACCUUCUCCGCGGCGCUCGUCGGCGUGAGCCACGGCUCGGAUGGGCAGAGGAACCUCCGGCGUGCCCAACGUGUUCGACGAAAUGA